RNAcentral lists this ribosomal RNA (433 nucleotides) under uncultured bacterium. RNAcentral's name for it is "partial 16S ribosomal RNA". It matches the Rfam family "Bacterial small subunit ribosomal RNA", at positions 29 to 507 of the family's 1533-position model. The record is from RNAcentral.
AGCGAACGCUGGCGGCAGGCCUAACACAUGCGAGUCGAACGAACUCUUCGGAGUUAGUGGCGGACGGGGGAGUAACACGUGGGAACGUGCCUUUUGGUUCGGAAUAACUCAGGGAAACUUGUGCUAAUACCGAAUGUGCCCUUCGGGGGAAAGAUUUAUCGCCAUUAGAGCGGCCCGCGUCUGAUUAGCUAGUUGGUGAGGUAACGGCUCACCAAGGCGACGAUCAGUAGCUGGUCUGAGAGGAUGACCAGCCACACUGGGACUGAGACACGGCCCAGACUCCUACGGGAGGCAGCAGUGGGGAAUCUUGCGCAAUGGGCGAAAGCCUGACGCAGCCAUGCCGCGUGAAUGAUGAAGGUCUUAGGAUUGUAAAAUUCUUUCACCGGGGACGAUAAUGACGGUACCCGGAGAAGAAGCCCCGGCUAACUUCGUG